Molecule: long non-coding RNA, 1075 nt
Organism: Python bivittatus (Burmese python)
Lineage: Eukaryota; Metazoa; Chordata; Lepidosauria; Squamata; Pythonidae
Source: RefSeq, a predicted model, not a curated record
CUCGCCGCCACCUAAAGCGACUGCUGGAGAGGAUCUCUUCUGCUCUGCGUCUUAGUAGUUUGGAACAUCAGCAGAAGCAGCACAACAAAACCGGGAACAAGUGGGGGAAUACAGAGGAGCAGACUGGAGAAUCUGCUAGAUAGCAAACUUACAUUUUUUAAAAAAAAUUCGUUGAAAAAACAGAAGACCUGCGACCCUGUAGCAAACAGUGCUUCUAAAUACUAAACAAAACUAGACAUUCGGCCAGCAAGCGCCCGCUGGAUAUAAACGGAGGAACGGAGGGAGGGCUGGGGAAGGAGGGGGUCACGUGGUGCUGUUUUCUCCCUCUCUUCGUGCAGCAGCCAAACUGCACAAUCCAGACAAGAACUCUUACAUAGAAUGCUGGUAAAGCUUACAUUCCAAAUCGGAAUGCUGGAACACGUCUGCAGGCGGUCUGGUUGGCUUUUCACAGGUAAAGAAGCUCUUGCCACUGCUUAUCUCCAUACAAAGUUCUACUUGUUUUAAAUUUUUUAUGGAUUGGUCCAUUCAAAGCACAGAGUAAUGACUUCCACAAUCAACAGAGAUGCUAUUUUUGUAUGAAUUCUGUGAGAAUGCUUACUCUAGCUUAGAAGAUGGAUUUCUUCCUUGUACAGUUAAUACAUUAAUGUACAAAUACUAUUGCUGAAAGCAUAUUCCACAUGAAGAAACCUAUACGAGCUGAGAUUUCUUAUGCUGUUAUUCUACUGCACAACAGUCUUCAUACUGUAGAGGGCAUUCUUGAGUUAUUGUAAACAUUGUGAAAGAAUCCUGCUUUCAUUUAAAAAAAACCUACAUGUCAUCAAAAAGGCCUUAUUAUUCAACUGUAAAUGCAAAAAAACUUGAGCUUGAUACAUUUCAUUUACAUAUUUUACAACUGUAGAAUAUGACCAUCAUAAUAUUCCAAUAUUAAAUGUUAACCUUCCAAAUAGGAUUUCUGCCACUGAAGUACUUUAAUGUGUUGAACUGUUAUGGUUUGACAGAUGGCAUUUAAUUUUUGAAGUGCUGGCAUAUUGAAAUGGAUUGACAAAUUUCCAUGCAUGCAAAGAUUCAACAGAAA